GCAGAAGCUAACAGGCUCCAAAUUUGAUGUAAAAGUAAACAACACAAGUACUCAAAGGAAAGAAAGAACUUGGCUGAUCGGUCCAGGAGACACUUGACUCAAGCUGUGAAUAAGAGGAAGAGUAAGCGUAAAACCUGCCGCCCCAGCAUCUUCUCUCUCCUCAGCCACGACUCGAAAUCCAACCCCCUACAGACGAGUUUCCAUGACAACACAAAGGCAGCAGACUAUUAGCAGGGGAUAAAGGGGUGACCGGAGUGAGGAGACAAGUGAAGCUUGAUCCACCAAAGAGAGGGAAGUCGGGUCGUUCUGAAGCGUUCUCCGUCUUGGGACAUCCACGGGCUGAUGGUCAGAGCGAUGGAACCAAACGGACCGUGCAGACGUCGGGUGUUGCAAGAUGUGUUGUUCUGUCGGUUUCUCAAAUCCUAACAGAGUGUGCACAGGAAGAAAAAAGAAGUAGAGUAAACCAGAGCUGCUUUA
Molecule: long non-coding RNA, 477 nt
Organism: Nematolebias whitei (Rio pearlfish)
Lineage: Eukaryota; Metazoa; Chordata; Actinopteri; Cyprinodontiformes; Rivulidae
Exons: 4
Source: RefSeq, a predicted model, not a curated record